Molecule: ribosomal RNA, 253 nt
Filed under: uncultured bacterium
Lineage: Bacteria
Description: partial 16S ribosomal RNA
Rfam family: Bacterial small subunit ribosomal RNA
Source: RNAcentral
UACGUAGGGGGCAAGCGUUGUCCGGAUUUAUUGGGCGUAAAGAGCGUGUAGGCGGCCAGGUAGGUCCGUUGUGAAAACUGGAGGCUUAACCUCCAGCUGUCGAUGGAAACCAUUUGGCUAGAGUCCGGAAGAGGAGAGUGGAAUUCCUGGUGUAGCGGUGAAAUGCGCAGAUAUCAGGAAGAACACCCGUGGCGAAGGCGGCUCUCUGGGACGGCACUGACGCUGAGACGCGAAAGCGUGGGGAGCGAACAGG